CAAAGGUGAGCCAGUACAGGAUGGACCCGCGUCUGAUUAGCUAGUUGGUAAGGUAACGGCUUACCAAGGCGACGAUCAGUAGCCGACCUGAGAGGGUGAUCGGCCACAUUGGAACUGAGACACGGUCCAAACUCCUACGGGAGGCAGCAGUGGGGAAUAUUGCACAAUGGGCGAAAGCCUGAUGCAGCAACGCCGCGUGAGUGAUGAAGGCCUUCGGGUCGUAAAACUCUGUCCUCAAGGAAGAUAAUGACGGUACUUGAGGAGGAAGCCCCGGCUAACUACGUGCCAGCAGCCGCGGUAAUACGUAGGGGGCUAGCGUUAUCCGGAUUUACUGGGCGUAAAGGGUGCGUAGGCGGUCUUUCAAGUCAGGAGUGAAAGGCUACGGCUCAACCGUAGUAAGCUCUUGAAACUGGGAGACUUGAGUGCAGGAGAGGAGAGUGGAAUUCCUAGUGUAGCGGUGAAAUGCGUAGAUAUUAGGAGGAACACCAGUUGCGAAGGCGGCUCUCUGGACUGUAACUGACGCUGAGGCACGAAAGCGUGGGGAGCAAACAGGAUUAGAUACCCUGGUAGUCCACGCUG
Molecule: ribosomal RNA, 579 nt
Filed under: uncultured bacterium
Lineage: Bacteria
Description: bacterial SSU rRNA
Rfam family: Bacterial small subunit ribosomal RNA
Source: RNAcentral